This is a non-coding RNA of Sus scrofa (pig), 2770 nucleotides long. The record is from RefSeq and is a predicted model, not a curated record. NCBI's taxonomy places the organism in Eukaryota, Metazoa, Chordata, Mammalia, Artiodactyla, Suidae.
AUAUUCUUUUUCACUUUUUUCCCUUAUAGGUUAUUACAAGAUACUAAAUAUAGUUCCCUGUGCUAUAUAGUGUAGCACCUUAUUGUUUAUCUGUUUUAUUUAUAGUAAUUUGUAUCUGCUAACUUCAAACUCCUAAUUGAUUCCUUCCCUACCCCCUUUCCUCUUUGGUAAUCAUAAAUUUGUUUUCAGUAUCCAAAGUGUAUUUUUAAUCACCAAUUCAAAGUGAUGUUUCACACAGGAAUAGAGGGAUCUGGUCCACCCUUAGGAGAUUUCACCUGACCCUGAGCACUUAGAAAACAAGAUAAAACAGCAGCAGGAGAGGAGGUCUCAUCUCUUCUGCCUACAGAGCUCCUGGCUGUGUCCUUAGCUAAUUCUUAUUUCAUCAGCAUUGUGGCAGAGGCAAUGUCCUUUCUAAGCUAUAAGGACAUGACCAUUUCUUUCAGUUCUGAGCAUCCACUACUUCCCCUAAAACUAGAUUCCCACAGGACAUUAGUGCACAAGACAGGCAACAUCGGCCUCCUUGCUUCCAACAGCUAGCAACAACGUGUGUGGGUACUUCACUGACUGUGUGCGGGUGUGUGUGUGUGUGUGUGUGUGUGUGUGUGUGUAUUACCGUAGUAAUAACAAAAUGCAAUUUUAAGGGGGGUAAUACCUUGGGGAAAUGGGGGAGCCUGCCCAUGAAGAUAUCAGUAAAGAGGUUUAUUUAGUUUUUGCUGUAGCCCCUGAUACUUCUGCAUUCUGCCAGAAUAUUACAUAGAGCACAGCCACAUAAAAGCAAAUAGUGUUAAUGCUAUGGGAACUGAGACUUCUAAUUCCUACCUCUUUAGGCAUUCUUUUUUCUGUGUCUCUAUGGGUAUUUACUGCCUUAAAUACAGAACCUGAAAUUUUAACAGAAAUUCUGCUUGAGUGAGAAAAAAUAAAGCCAAUUUCAAACCUUACUGUUAUUUUCAUCUCUGGAGAUGACAUGUGAAAGCAAUUAAGAAAGGUAUUCUCUAGGGGAAAAAAAUCUUACCUCAGUUGAAAGAGGCUGGAAGAGAUUUUGAAGAACGAUGAAAUGGAAAAUAACACCAUACCUUCUUUAAGCAAAUUAAGUGGGCACCUCUAUCAUAUCAUAAUGCAAGACUGAUGCAAAUAUGUGCAUUGCCUAAGAUGCCAAAGUUUGCAACGCUGAAUCCAAAAUCUCCUGAAAGAUCACACUCAUAACCACUGAAAUAACCACCUGUCCCUCAUCUAGAGAUGAUGCUCGUGGAAACAAAAGAACUUGGAAGGGAGGUUUCAACAGCAUUAGAGAUCAGCAAUAACCUGAAUCUCUCUGGUUGAUUUAUACUGAAAAAGGACACCUGGAGAAAAAGGAUGGUUAUUUUCCUUGUAACGUGAGCUUUUUUUUUUUUUUUUUUUUUUUUUUUUUUAAGCUGUGAACUUUUUACCUUGCUUCAUUCAUGCUUCAUUUGAUCAAUUACAAACUGUAUAGCCCCUAAAAAGCGAGCGCGGGCUUCUUGAAGUUGAUAUUGUGCUUUGCGAUUCAUCUUCAUUUCAAAACAGGCGGGGAGGUGGAAUUAAGACACCUAUCAGACUGUGAACCGGUAAAGCAGAGGCUGGGAGUGUGUGCGUCGGUCCCCUUAACACCACGAGGACCCGAGGACCUUAACUGCGGACGGACGAGCGGAGCCCGGCUCUCGCAGCCCAGAAUCCGCUUUCAAACCUUAGGGAGCCAGCGCUGCCAUUGAAAUGCAAAUCCGGUCCUGAGCAGCCGGGCCAAUCCGGGAGGCUUCCUGUGGGAUUACCUGGUGGCGAGCGCCGAGCCCGCGCGGACCCUCCGGCGCGGCCCCCGCGGCCGGGGAGGCGUGGUGGUCGGGCGCCCCCGCACCCUCCGGGCCCGGAGCCGGGCUUCACCAGCCGCAGCCCCGCACCCCGGGCCCGCCGCGCCGCAGCCGCUGUAGCCCCGGCGCAGGGCGCGGCCGAGCGGCCCAUUGUUGAGCGCGGCCGAGCUCCGCCGGCGAUGCCCCGCGCCGCCUCCUCCGAGCCGUGGUGAGGUUUGAACUUGGCGUCGGCCGGGAGCCCCGCGCGGCCCCGCGAGCGCGAUGGAAGGCAGAAACUGCCACUCCAAGAGCGAAAGAAUUGCGGAUUAUUGACAGCCUGAAAACUUUUCAGAAGAAAUGAUCUGUGAAAUAUUUUAAUUUUGAUAAAUUGCUUCCCCCGAGGGCUCCUACUGCGUUCAGAACGACUUGCCUUUCUUAAUUUUACAGGAUUUGUUUCUGUAGGAAAGAGCCCAAGUGUGCUUUUGAGGGGCAUGCCUGCCCCUCCCCCCUUCCACUUGUUCCAGAUCUUAAGGCAGGUUUUUUUUUUUUUUUUUUUUUUAAGGUGUGUUCCACUGUCAUGGAGCAAACGUUAAAUCAUGAAAAUGAAACUAUACCUGACACGUGCUUGACUGAGUUGCGGGAGAGAUAAAAAUGCUUUGCUGAGGGGUGGGGGCGAGGUUAUAAAAUUUCAAUACAUCCAGCUUCCGGUGGGGGUGGGGUGUGACCAUCUCUUGCUAAUGUGUUUUGGCUUUUUUUUUGUUUUGUUUUUUAAAUCAUAGCGUGAUGCGCUUCUGUGCUCCGAAGCUUUUGAGAGGACAGGACUGGGUGCCCACAUUCAUAUAAUUUCUAUGGAGGUAGUGCUAUGAGACGUCCUGGUGCAACAGGACCUCUUCUCCUGUUUCUAAUCAGUUAAUAUUUAAAGACUGGUUAAAUGAUCGUUUCUGAUUAAAUAAAAGUACCUUGGUCAGACA